This 422-nucleotide ribosomal RNA is filed under the name uncultured bacterium. RNAcentral's name for it is "bacterial SSU rRNA". It matches the Rfam family "Bacterial small subunit ribosomal RNA", at positions 355 to 774 of the family's 1533-position model. The record is from RNAcentral.
UAAGGAAUAUUGGUCAAUGGACGCAAGUCUGAACCAGCCAUGCCGCGUGGAGGAUUAAGGCCCUCUGGGUUGUAAACUCCUUUUAUCUGGGAAGAAAUGUACUUUUUCUUGAGUACUUGACGGUACCAGAGGAAUAAGCACCGGCUAACUCCGUGCCAGCAGCCGCGGUAAUACGGAGGGUGCAAGCGUUAUCCGGAUUCACUGGGUUUAAAGGGUGCGUAGGUGGGCUGGUAAGUCAGUGGUGAAAUCUCCGGGCUUAACCCGGAAACUGCCGUUGAUACUAUUUGUCUUGAAUAUUGUGGAGGUAAGCGGAAUAUGUCAUGUAGCGGUGAAAUGCUUAGAUAUGACAUAGAACACCAAUUGCGAAGGCAGCUUACUACACAAUCAUUGACGCUGAGGCACGAAAGCGUGGGGAUCAAACA